GGGUUGUGAGGUUAAGCGACUAAGCGUACACGGUGGAUGCCCUGGCAGUCAGAGGCGAUGAAGGGCGUGCUAAUCUGCGAUAAGCGCCGGUAAGGUGAUAUGAACCGUUAUAACCGGCGAUACCCGAAUGGGGAAACCCAGUGUGACUCGUCACACUAUCAUUAACUGAAUCCAUAGGUUAAUGAGGCGAACCGGGGGAACUGAAACAUCUAAGUACCCCGAGGAAAAGAAAUCAACCGAGAUUCCCCCAGUAGCGGCGAGCGAACGGGGAGGAGCCCAGAGCCUGAAUCAGCAUGUGUGUUAGUGGAAGCGUCUGGAAAGGCGCGCGAUACAGGGUGACAGCCCCGUACACAAAAGCGCAUGUGCUGUGAGCUCGAUGAGUAGGGCGGGACACGUGGUAUCCUGUCUGAAUAUGGGGGGACCAUCCUCCAAGGCUAAAUACUCCUGACUGACCGAUAGUGAACCAGUACCGUGAGGGAAAGGCGAAAAGAACCCCGGCGAGGGGAGUGAAAAAGAACCUGAAACCGUGUACGUACAAGCAGUGGGAGCCCCACCACCAAAGCAUUCUCUGGUGUUGAAGGCCCUGCAAAGCAGCAUCGCGGUGGCGGAGCGUCGUUUGCGACGCCCAACACACAAAACAAGCGGUGAGUGCUUUG
This 656-nucleotide ribosomal RNA is filed under the name Salmonella enterica. RNAcentral describes it as "partial 23S ribosomal RNA". It matches the Rfam family "Bacterial large subunit ribosomal RNA", at positions 1 to 604 of the family's 2925-position model. The record is from RNAcentral. Lineage: Bacteria; Pseudomonadati; Pseudomonadota; Gammaproteobacteria; Enterobacterales; Enterobacteriaceae.